This 447-nucleotide ribosomal RNA is filed under the name uncultured Methanolobus sp. RNAcentral describes it as "bacterial SSU rRNA". It matches the Rfam family "Archaeal small subunit ribosomal RNA", at positions 366 to 813 of the family's 1478-position model. The record is from RNAcentral. Lineage: Archaea; Methanobacteriati; Methanobacteriota; Methanomicrobia; Methanosarcinales; Methanosarcinaceae.
CGCGAUAAGGGGACACUGAGAGGCAGCCCCAUGUGUGGGCUGUCCGCAUGUAUAAAUAACAUGUGUUAGCAAGGGCCGGGCAAGACCGGUGCCAGCCGCCGCGGUAACACCGGCGGCCCGAGUGGUGGCCAUUAUUAUUGGGUCUAAAGGGUCCGUAGCCGGUUUGAUCAGUCUUCCGGGAAAUCUGACAGCUCAACUGUUAGGCUUCUGGGGGAUACUGUCAGACUUGGAACCGGGAGAGGUAAGAGGUACUACAGGGGUAGGAGUGAAAUCUUGUAAUCCUUGUGGGACCACCAGUGGCGAAGGCGUCUUACCAGAACGGGUUCGACGGUGAGGGACGAAAGCUGGGGGCACGAACCGGAUUAGAUACCCGGGUAGUCCCAGCCGUAAACGAUGCUCGCUAGGUGUCUGGGACGGUGCGACCGUUUCAGGUGCCGCAGGGAAGCC